This 1854-nucleotide non-coding RNA is filed under the name Triticum aestivum (bread wheat). Its description in RNAcentral is "Eukaryotic large subunit ribosomal RNA". It matches the Rfam family "Eukaryotic large subunit ribosomal RNA", at positions 24 to 1888 of the family's 3401-position model. The record is from Rfam by way of RNAcentral. Lineage: Eukaryota; Viridiplantae; Streptophyta; Magnoliopsida; Poales; Poaceae.
CCCGCUGAGUUUAAGCAUAUAAAUAAGCGGAGGAUAAGAAACUUACAAGGAUUCCCCUAGUAACAGCGAGCGAACCGGGAGUAGCCCAGCUUGAGAAUCGGGCGGCUGUGCCGUCCGAAUUGUAGUCUGUAGAGGCGUCCUUAGCGACGGACCGGGCCCAAGUCCCCUGGAAAGGGGCGCCUGGGAGGGUGAGAGCCCCGUCCGGCCCGGACCCUAUCGCCCCACGAGGCGCCGUCAACGAGUCGGGUUGUUUGGGAAUGCAGCCCAAAUCGGGCAGUAGACUCCGUCCAAGGCUAAAUAUAGGCGAGAGACCAAUAGCGAAAAAGUACCGCGAGGUAAAGAUGAAAAGGACUUUGAAAACAGAGUUAAAGAGUGCUUGAAAUUGCCGGGAGGGAAGCAGAUGGGGGUCGGCGAUGCGCCCCGACCGUAUGUGGAACGGCUCUUGUUGGUCCGCCGCUCGGCUCGGGGUGUGGACUAUUGUCGGCCGCGCCGGCGGCCAAAGCCUGGGGGCCCUAGGUGCCCCCGGUGGCCGUCAUCGGCAUGUCCGGUACCCGCGCGCCGAAAGGCGUGUCCCUCGAGGCACUGCGCUACAACGGCUUGCGGGCUCCCCAUCUAACCCGUCUUGAAACACGGACCAAGGAGUCUGACAUGCGUGCGAGUCGACGGGUUCUGAAACCUGGGAUGCGCAAGGAAGCUGACGAGCGGGAGGCCCUCACGGGCCGCACCGCUGGCCGACCCUGAUCUUCUGUGAAGAGUUCGAGUUGGAGCACGCCUGUCGGGACCCGAAAGAUGGUGAACUAUGCCUGAGCGGAGCGAAGCCAGAGGAAACUCUGGUGGAGAUUCAAAGCGAUACUGACGUGAAAAUCGUUCGUCUGACUUGGGUAUAGGGGCGAAAGACUAAUCGAACCAUCUAGUAGCUGGUUCCCUCCGAAGUUUCCCUCAGGAUAGCUGGAGCCCAUUACGAGUUCUGUCAGGUAAAGCCAAUGAUUAGAGGCAUUGGGGACGCAACGUCCUCGACCUAUUCUCAUGCUUUAAAUAGGUAGGAUGGCGCGGCUGCUUCAGUGAGCCGUGCCACGGAAUCGGGUGCUCCAAGUGGGCCAUUUUUGGUAAGCAGAACUGGCGAUGCGGGAUGAACCGGAAGCCGGGUUACGGUCCCCAACUGCGCGCUAACCUAGAACCCACAAAGGGUGUUGGUCGAUUAAGACAGCAGGACGGUGGUCAUGGAAGUCGAAAUCCGCUAAGGAGUGUGUAACAACUCACCUGUCGAGUCAACUAGCCCCGAAAAUGGAUGGCGCUGAAGCGCGCGACCCACACCCGACCAUCUAGGCGAGUGCCAUGCCCCAAUGAGUAGGAGGGCGCGGUGGCCGCUGCAAAACCCAGGGCGCGAGCCCGGGCGGAGCGGCCGUCGGUGCAGAUCUUGGUGGUAGUAGCAAAUAUUCAAAUGAGAACUUUGAAGGCCGAAGAGGAGAAAGGUUCCAUGUGAACGGCACUUGCACAUGGGUAAGCCGAUCCUAAUGGACGGGGUAACCCCGGCAGAUAGCGCGAUCACGCGCAUCCCCCGAAAGGGAAUCGGGUUAAUAUUUCCCGAGCCGGGAUGUGGUGGUUGACGGCGACGUUAGGAAGUCCGGAGACACCGGUGGGGGCCUCGGGAAGAGUUAUCUUUUCUGCUUAACGGCCUGCCAACCCUGGAAACGGUUCAGCCGGAGGUAGGGUCCAGUGGCCGGAAGAGCACCUCAUGUCGCGCGGUGUCCGGUGCGCCCCCGGCGGCCCAUGAAAAUCUGGAGGACCGAGUAUCGUUCACGCCUGGUCGUACUCAUAACCGCAUCAGGUCUCCAAGGUGAACAACCUCUGGCC